GCAUCCCAUUUUUCUCAUACAAAAAUAACAGCUAAUGUUUUCAAUUAGUUUCGGUUAUCUUUUUAUAGUAAGACAACUUAUUUAUUUUUGUCAUCUACAUGCAAAAAAUAGCCGGAAAAUUAUCAUUUAAAGACUCUUUGUAAAUGUGCAUGAUAAUUAUUGGAUAGCAAACAUGACAACAUUGGGGGGACGCAUUUCCAAUUAUAUCCUAAAACGUCUUUUCCAAUUCCAACAAACUUGGCAAAUAUGAUGUUAUUGGAAGUUUCUAUAGAUAUGAUUAUCAUUUUGUUUCGACCAGUUACAGAACACGAACAUGAGAGACAUUCUAUUGUAUGAACAGACGAAGAACGCGCUCACCAGAAGCAUAUUUAAAUUAUAACUGAUAAAAAAAAACGUCAGUUAGAGGCAAUUCCUUAUUCCAAUAUAUUAAGAUUUUGACACCAGAGGCAUUCAUUAAUUCUGAUAGAUGAGAACUGCAACCACCUGAGACAGUGUUUAAUUGAUAAACAACCGGAACACUAAUGGCAAUCUUUAAUUAUAAUAUAUGAUGGCUAUAACCACCUGAUACAGAUUGUUUCGCGCCUACGACUUCUGUUGCA
Molecule: long non-coding RNA, 599 nt
Filed under: Mytilus galloprovincialis (Mediterranean mussel)
Lineage: Eukaryota; Metazoa; Mollusca; Bivalvia; Mytilida; Mytilidae
Source: RNAcentral